AACGAACGCUGGCGGCAUGCCUAACACAUGCAAGUCGAACGAGACCUUCGGGCCUAGUGGCGCACGGGUGCGUAACGCGUGGGAACCUGCCCGUAGGUUCGGAACCACUCAGAGUAAUUUGAGCUAAUACCGGUUGAUCUCUUCGGACCAAAGAUUUAUUGCCUUGGGAUGGGGCCGCGUUAGUUUCGGGGGUUGGGGGGGUAAAGGCCUGCCAAGGGGACGAUCCAGGGCUGGUAUGAGAGGAGGAUCAUCCACGCUGGGACUGCGACACGGCCCAGACUGCUACGGGAGGCAGCAGUGGGGAAUAUUGGACACUGGGCGAAAGCCUGAUCCAGCAAUGCCGCGUGAGUGAUGCAGGCCUUAGGGUUGUAAAGCUCUUUUACCCGAGAUGAUAAUGACGGUAUCGGGAGAAUAAGCACCGGCUAACUCCGUG
Molecule: ribosomal RNA, 433 nt
Filed under: uncultured bacterium
Lineage: Bacteria
Description: partial 16S ribosomal RNA
Rfam family: Bacterial small subunit ribosomal RNA
Source: RNAcentral